Molecule: ribosomal RNA, 448 nt
Filed under: uncultured bacterium
Lineage: Bacteria
Description: partial 16S ribosomal RNA
Rfam family: Bacterial small subunit ribosomal RNA
Source: RNAcentral
AGCGAACGCUAGCGGCAGGCCUAACACAUGCAAGUCGAACGAACUCUUCGGAGUUAGUGGCGGACGGGUGAGUAACACGUGGGAACGUGCCUUUAGGUUCGGAAUAACUCAGGGAAACUUGUGCUAAUACCGAAUGUGCCCUUCGGGGGAAAGAUUAUCGCCUUUAGAGCGGCCCGCGUCUGAUUAGCUAGUUGGGGAGGUAAAGGCUCACCAAGGCGACGAUCAGUAGCUGGUUUGAGAGGAUGAUCAGCCACAUUGGGACUGAGACACGGCCCAAACUCCUACGGGAGGCAGCAGUGGGGAAUCUUGCGCAAUGGGCGAAAGCCUGACGCAGCCAUGCCGCGUGAAUGAUGAAGGUCUUAGGAUUGUAAAAUUCUUUCACCGGGGACGAUAAUGACGGUACCCGGAGAAGAAGCCCCGGCUAACUUCGUGCCAGCCGCCGCGGUAA